CCUACGGGAGGCAGCAGUGGGGAAUAUUGCACAAUGGGGGAAACCCUGAUGCAGCGACGCCGCGUGAGUGAAGAAGUAUUUCGGUAUGUAAAGCUCUAUCAGCAGGGAAGAAAAUGACGGUACCUGUUUAAGAAGCCCCGGCUAACUACGUGCCAGCAGCCGCGGUAAUACGUAGGGGGCAAGCGUUAUCCGGAUUUACUGGGUGUAAAGGGAGCGUAGACGGCAGCACAAGUCUGGAGUGAAAUGCCGGGGCUUAACCCCGGAACUGCUUGGGAAACUGGGCAGCUAGAGUGCAGGAGAGGUAAGUGGAAUUCCUAGUGUAGCGGUGAAAUGCGUAGAUAUUAGGAGGAACACCAGUGGCGAAGGCGGCUUACUGGACUGUAACUGACGUUGAGGCUCGAAAGCGUGGGGAGCAAACAGGAUUAGAUACCCGGGUAGUC
RNAcentral lists this ribosomal RNA (440 nucleotides) under uncultured bacterium. Its description in RNAcentral is "partial 16S ribosomal RNA". It matches the Rfam family "Bacterial small subunit ribosomal RNA", at positions 338 to 795 of the family's 1533-position model. The record is from RNAcentral.